CGAACGCUGGCGGCGACUUAACACAUGCAAGUCGAACGCGAAAGGGACUUCGGUCCUGAGUAAAGUGGCGCACGGGUGAGUAACGCGUAGAUAACCUGUCUUCAUGUCUGGAAUAAUACGCCGAAAGGGGUACUAAUACCGGAUAUCUUGCUUUUCAUAAGUUAUGCAAGCAAAGGUGGCCUCUGCAUAUGCUACUGCAUGAAGAGGGGUCUGCGUACCAUUAGCUAGUAGGUGGGGUAAUGGCCUACCUAGGCGACGAUGGUUAGCGGGUCUGAGAGGAUGAUCCGCCACACUGGCACUGGAACACGGGCCAGACUCCUACGGGAGGCAGCAGUGAGGAAUAUUGCGCAAUGGGGGAAACCCUGACGCAGCGACGCCGCGUGAGUGAGGAAAGGCCUUCGGGUCGUAAAGCUCUGUCAAGAGGAAAGAAGUGUACAAUGGCUAAUACCUGUUGUAUUUGACGGUACCUCUAAAGGAAGCACCGGCUAACUCCGUGCCAGCAGCAGC
Molecule: ribosomal RNA, 507 nt
Filed under: uncultured bacterium
Lineage: Bacteria
Description: bacterial SSU rRNA
Rfam family: Bacterial small subunit ribosomal RNA
Source: RNAcentral